RNAcentral lists this ribosomal RNA (371 nucleotides) under uncultured organism. Its description in RNAcentral is "partial 16S ribosomal RNA". It matches the Rfam family "Bacterial small subunit ribosomal RNA", at positions 527 to 896 of the family's 1533-position model. The record is from RNAcentral.
GGAGGGUGCAAGCGUUGUUCGGAUUUAUUGGGUUUAAAGGGUGCGUAGGCGGCCUAUUAAGCCAGUGGUGAAAGGUAUCAGCUUAACUGAUGACGUGCCAUUGAAACUGACAGGCUUGAGUACAGACGAGGUAGGCGGAAUUUAUGGUGUAGCGGUGAAAUGCAUAGAUACCAUAAAGAACACCAAUUGCGAAGGCAGCUUACUAGACUGAGACUGACGCUGAGGCACGAAAGCGUGGGGGGAGCGAACAGGAUUAGAUACCCUGGUAGUCCACGCUGUAAACCGAUGAUUACUGGAUGUGUGCGAUAGACAGUACGCGUCUGAGCGAAAGCGUUAAGUAACUCCACCUGGGGAGUACGAUCGCAAGAUUG